GGUUUAUGCAAUUUUCAGGAAUUCAAGUUAGCCUUGAAGGAAGUUCAUGAAUGUCUAAAUUCUUUCUGAGAGAACUACAGAAGGAUGGGUUCGAGCAAGAGGAAAAGUGAAUCCAAGGAAUGGGGUGGGAUAUAAGCAAUAGUGUGACAGGAAUUGAGAUACAACCUGAAUAUCCAUCAAAAGAAGAAUGGUUACAAAAG
Leptonychotes weddellii (Weddell seal) is the source of this 200-nucleotide non-coding RNA. NCBI's taxonomy places the organism in Eukaryota, Metazoa, Chordata, Mammalia, Carnivora, Phocidae. The record is from RefSeq and is a predicted model, not a curated record.